Molecule: non-coding RNA, 393 nt
Organism: Pelobates cultripes (western spadefoot toad)
Lineage: Eukaryota; Metazoa; Chordata; Amphibia; Anura; Pelobatidae
Source: the annotation of a GenBank genome assembly
AUUUAUUGCUAUAAGGUUUUAUUUUAUGUAUAAAUAUAUUAAAAGUUGAGUUUUCUUAUUAGACCCAUAAAGAUUAUUUUGAUACAAUUACCCUCUGGUGACACCUACUGGUAGGUUUUUGGUUUAACACUUUAAAAAAAAAACAUUUUUUCAUCCACCAAAUGCCGACUAAUAAAAUUAGCUCACCCCCUUUCACCUAUCUUACUACCCGUAGACUGGAACCUAUUAUUGGGCAGCUUUGCCGAAGUCCCAUAUUAGACACUGCUUGAGUCAAAUAGGUUGUAUACCCCCUUUAAUCCAGAGGCCCCUGAAAACUUCCGAAUGAUAGACUCAGCAUUUGUCAGCCAGGCCCAAGGUGAUAGUAAAAGGAAAUUACAGAAAAUUAGAGGGAUU